GAAAGAUGAAAAGAACUUUGAAAAGAGAGUUAAACAGUACGUGAAAUUGUUGAAAGGGAAACGAUUAAAGCCAGUCGUACCGGCGGGUAAUCAGCCUUUUGGGUGUGAUUAUGUGGAACGUGAGGAGUUUAAUCGCCUUCAUGCCUGCAUAUUCGUGCACUUUGGGUGUACUUGCUCGUGUGGUAGGUUAACAUCAAUUUCGAUCAUCAUAAAAUGAUUGGGGGAAUGUAGCUUCGAUCUCGUGUUGAAGUGUUUAUA
RNAcentral lists this ribosomal RNA (258 nucleotides) under uncultured Rhizophagus. RNAcentral describes it as "partial large subunit ribosomal RNA". It matches the Rfam family "Eukaryotic large subunit ribosomal RNA", at positions 359 to 630 of the family's 3401-position model. Lineage: Eukaryota; Fungi; Glomeromycota; Glomeromycetes; Glomerales; Glomeraceae. The record is from RNAcentral.